CUUAAAAAAUUCCUCUCAAACAACCAGUACCAGCCACUGCAAAAAUGUACCAAAUGGUAAAGACUAAUGACACAGUGAAGAAACCGUGUCACCUAAUGGGCAAAACAACCAGCCCGUAACAAAAUGGCAGG
Molecule: long non-coding RNA, 131 nt
Organism: Sapajus apella (tufted capuchin)
Lineage: Eukaryota; Metazoa; Chordata; Mammalia; Primates; Cebidae
Exons: 3
Source: RefSeq, a predicted model, not a curated record